GCGGAAGUGGUGGAAUAGGCAGACACGCUAGGUUGAGGGCCUAGUCCUCGUUGAGAGGGUGGGGGUUCGACUCCCCCCUUCCGCA
RNAcentral lists this transfer RNA (85 nucleotides) under bacterium. Its description in RNAcentral is "tRNA-Leu". It matches the Rfam family "tRNA". From Rfam's summary of the family: Transfer RNA (tRNA) molecules are approximately 80 nucleotides in length. Their secondary structure includes four short double-helical elements and three loops (D, anti-codon, and T loops). Further hydrogen bonds mediate the characteristic L-shaped molecular structure. tRNAs have two regions of fundamental functional importance: the anti-codon, which is responsible for specific mRNA codon recognition, and the 3' end, to which the tRNAs corresponding amino acid is attached (by aminoacyl-tRNA synthetases). tRNAs cope with the degeneracy of the genetic code in two manners: having more than one tRNA (with a specific anti-codon) for a particular amino acid; and 'wobble' base-pairing, i.e. permitting non-standard base-pairing at the 3rd anti-codon position. The record is from RNAcentral.